GAUGAACGCUGGCGGCGUGCCUAAUACAUGCAAGUCGAGCGAACAGACGAGGAGCUUGCUCCUCUGACGUUAGCGGCGGACGGGUGAGUAACACGUGGAUAACCUACCUAUAAGACUGGGAUAACCUCGGGAAACCGGCGCUUAUACCGGAUAAUAUAUUGAACCGCAUGGUUCAAUAGUGAAAGACGGUUUUGCUGUCACUUAUAGAUGGAUCCGCGCCGCAUUAGCUAGUUGGUAAGGUAACGGCUUACCAAGGCAACGAUGCGUAGCCGACCUGAGAGGGUGAUCGGCCACACUGGAACUGAGACACGGUCCAGACGCCUACGGGAGGCAGCAGUAGGGAACCUUACGCAAUGGGCGAAAGCCUGACGGAGCAACGCCGCGUGAGUGAUGAAGGUCUUCGGAUCGUAAAACUCUGUUAUUAGGGAAGAACAAAUGUGUAAGUAACUAUGCACGUCUUGACGGUACCUAAUCAGAAAGCCACGGCUAACUACGUG
Molecule: ribosomal RNA, 497 nt
Filed under: uncultured bacterium
Lineage: Bacteria
Description: partial 16S ribosomal RNA
Rfam family: Bacterial small subunit ribosomal RNA
Source: RNAcentral